UUAUUGCUCCGCCCCUAGCGAAUGGGGUUUGCACUGUGUACGACCCUCUUGGCUCAAUGCUACCGAGCGUUGUCACCAUGCCUGCCGCCACGCCCCAAAUGUCCCACUGCCCAGAACCCGCUUGUGCGCGUGUGGAAGCUUUCUUAAUAUGUUGGUGGUGCUGCUCCUGUGCUGCUUCUGCGGUCCACUGUAACUUUGGCAGAACAGUGACUCACGGCACGGUCUCUGGGUGAAAACAUAUCCGGUGUUUGCUUCCAUGGGGUUCCAUGACUUGGCACCGAGCCGAAUACGUAGUCGGGGCACCAUAUAAGACGAGGGCAACGCCCACUUUAUUUUCCUGUCUCCUCCUGUUCCGUAGCAACUUUUCUCGGUCAAAAUCUGCUCCUCCGGCUCUUUAUUCUCUCCACUUUGGCCUAUUGUCACCCCACCCAUCCGCUCGACAUGUCAGGCGUAAUGUAAUCCUGUAAGCCCCAUUGUGAGGUUAUCGACCAUGCAGAGUUACGGUCAUGUGACCAAAAAAGAGUACAGAUCACGCGAUCUCGAGGCCUGCGACUGCAGAACGACCACCAGUACUGGAACAGACACAAUACACCGCCACCACCGAACCGAACAAAAGCACCCACCAUUAUUGCCCCUUUGCAACGCGAUUGCGGCAUUGCGCCGGUUUUGGAACUACCCCAACCCUGGAUUAUGCAGCAGUGCGACGAAACGCGACAGCAAUCGGCAUCACACGAGGCUGAUCAAAAGCCGCACUCAAACAGUGUGCAAGGGACAAUGGGCAAAGCACGCAUUGUAGAAUCGUUUGUUACGUAACACAUCGACCACCUCUCCGCCUACCGUGUCUUUAAUUGGCCCUACCGCCCGUUGUAGACUGGUUGUAUGAUGUUGGGCAUGCUUUGGUAUAUUAUCGCUUGUGGCUCCCAAAAUAGUCUAAACAAUAAAACGGCCCAGUCUAAAAGUGGCAAUAGAUCAUUAGCUGCUACUACAAUGCG
RNAcentral lists this unclassified non-coding RNA (992 nucleotides) under Yarrowia lipolytica. Lineage: Eukaryota; Fungi; Ascomycota; Dipodascomycetes; Dipodascales. The record is from RNAcentral.